GACGAACGCUGGCGGCGUGCUUAACACAUGCAAGUCGAACGGAAAGGCCCUGCUUAUGUGGGGUGCUCGAGUGGCGAACGGGUGAGUAACACGUGAGUAACCUGCCCUUGACUUUGGGAUAACUUCAGGAAACUGGGGCUAAUACCGGAUAGGAGCUCCUGCUGCAUGAUGGGGGUUGGAAAGUUUCGGCGGUUGGGGAUGGACUCGCGGCUUAUCAGCUUGUUGGUGGGGUAGUGGCUUACCAAGGCUUUGACGGGUAGCCGGCCUGAGAGGGUGACCGGCCACAUUGGGACUGAGAUACGGCCCAGACUCCUACGGGAGGCAGCAGUGGGAAAUAUUGCACAAUGGGCGGAAGCCUGAUGCAGCAACGCCGCGUGCGGGAUGACGGCCUUCGGGUUGUAAACCGCUUUCGCCUGUGACGAAGCGUGAGUGACGGUAAUGGGUAAAGAAGCACCGGCUAACUACGUG
Molecule: ribosomal RNA, 468 nt
Filed under: uncultured bacterium
Lineage: Bacteria
Description: partial 16S ribosomal RNA
Rfam family: Bacterial small subunit ribosomal RNA
Source: RNAcentral